This 1327-nucleotide long non-coding RNA is filed under the name Numida meleagris (helmeted guineafowl). Its description in RNAcentral is "lncRNA (ENSNMEG00000002699.1)". The record is from RNAcentral. Lineage: Eukaryota; Metazoa; Chordata; Aves; Galliformes; Numididae.
GGGACGUGGGUUCGAAUCCCACCGCUGCCAGCGGGGCCCGGCGCCCACUUUUGUGCCCCCCCUCUCUCUAAAGGUCCUGGGGGGGCGUCACGGGGUGUGUGGGGGGAGUCCCCACUUUUGUGUCCCCUCCCCCUCCCCAAGGUCAUGGUGGGGUCACACGCAGAGACAGGUGCACACCAAAAAAAGUGAAACUCAGUAAAACCUUUUAUUUCCCCCGAAAGCAAAAUUACAACAAUUUCUCCCCAAAUACAUGAAUCAAAGUAAAUGAUGGGGGAGGGGAAGGUAAAAAAAGGACCCCCCCCACCCAAAAAUCACCACCACCAUUGCCGGGGGGUGCCCCUCAACUCCCCCCCCCCAUCACCCUCAUCCCUAUCUCCCACUCAUUAACUAACGACACCCCUCAAUUAACACCCAUUCCCACACCCUCCCCCCCCUUCCAAUUCCCACAGGGCCGCGUCCGCGGCCCCGCCCUGCCCCACACUUGGGGGUCAGCCCCACAACCUGAGGAGGCCCCCCCUGCUCAGUUGUCGUCGUCGCUGUCGUCGGGGCUGAUGGCUGGGCUGGUCAGGCUGUAGGUGGGCGACGUGGGGCUGUAGCCCGGCGAUGUGGGGCUGUAGUUGGGGGAUGUGGGGCUGUAGUUGGGGGAUGUGGGGCUGUAGCUGGGCGAAGUCGGGCUGUAGCUCGGGCUGGUGGGGCUGUAGCUGGGAGAAGUGGGGCUGUAACUGGGUGAGGUUGGGCUGUAGCUGGGAGAAGUCGGGCUGUAGCUGGGUGAUGUGGGGCUGUAGCUGGGCGAAGUUGGGCUGUAACUUGGAGAAGUCGGGCUGUAGCUGGGCGAGGUCGGGCUGUAGCUGGGUGAGGUCGGGCUGUAGCUGGGCGAAGUUGGGCUGUAGCUGGGCGAGGUGGGGCUGUAGCUGGGCGAGGUGGGGCUGUAGCUGGGAGAAGUCGGGCUGUAGCUGGGCGAAGUCGGGCUGUAGUUGGGGCUGGUGGGGCUGUAGCUGGGUGAGGUCGGGCUGUAGCUCGGAGAGGUGGGGCUGUAGCUGGGGCUCUGCGGGGUGUAGCCCCCGGGAGACCGCGGCUCAUAGGCAGGUGACGUAGGGCUGUAGCUGGGGGACAUGGCCCCACCUGCAAAACCACGAGGCAGAGUGGGGGUGAGCAGGAAUCCAGGGGGGAGGUCCCAGGAUUGGGGGUCCCCAGGGGGAGCACUGACCUGGGGAGGGGAUGUAGGGGCUGGAGGGCCCCGGGGAUCCGGGGGAGCCGGGGGUGGGUGACCAGGCAGGCGAGUAACCGGGGCUGAAACCGCUGGCGUCUGAAGCGGCACUGGGGGAGA